Molecule: long non-coding RNA, 6335 nt
Filed under: Brassica rapa (field mustard)
Lineage: Eukaryota; Viridiplantae; Streptophyta; Magnoliopsida; Brassicales; Brassicaceae
Description: long non-coding RNA (BRAP_LNC005606)
Source: RNAcentral
AGAGUAUUUGACUUAAAUGCUCCCAGGCACGAGUUUCGAGGCUAGGUUCAAAAAGUCAACAUCUCAUCCCUCCGCUGCUUAAACAGGCCAGCACCGCCGUGUCCGUACUUGCUCCGCUGCAUUUAUUUCGCCGGUGAAGUUUGGUGAAGCUGGUUUAUUACUCCUUGAAGCACAGGCUUACCCCCUACGGUCUCUGUUUUGGCUUUAAAUGAGCCAUAAGCUGCAGAUCUGGUUGAGAGAAUGCUUCCUGUAACGAAGUAACUUUAACGCUUUGACCCUACAAGGUUGGGUAGUUAAGGUUAUUCAAGCUUCCUGUGAAUCUUUUACUGUGGAAUACAGUUUUUACCUCAUCUCUGAGGAGUUACCCGCUCUAGGUUCUUACUGCGAGAUCUGCAGUUAUAUCUCUUAGACUUUACAGAAGAAAACAAAAAGACAUCGGUGGUAAGAUGUCUCUACGCAACUCAAGGCAUGAAAAGGGCAAAUGGAUAGCUGACCCCACCAAAUCAUCUCGCCGUCCUCCUAUCCAAAUCCCACAGAUAAACACUUCUGCGCUGAUACAGGAGAACAAACUCACCCUGAUUGGUCGAGUUACUAACCCCGCCAUCCAAAAAACUCGCGCACUUGUGGAUUUCUUUCUACAGCACUGGCGAGUGGCGGGUAAAAUCACUGGCAGAGACUUAGGCCCCAACUUAUUUCAGUUCAAGUUCGAGACUGAACAAGAUCUUCUAUCGGUCCUCUCUGAAGCACCUUUCCACUUCAAGCGAUGGAUGCUGAUUCUUCAAAGGUGGGAACCGAUAGUCUCUGACCACUUCCCCGCGCUGAUUCCGUUCUGGAUCACUAUUCACGGAAUUCCCUUGCACUACUGGACAGAUGUAGCCCUGGAGGCCAUUGGGAAUGAACUGGGACCAGUGGAAACGUAUGAUGUUGAACGCGGGAGGAUUAGGGUCCUGAUCAAUGGGUUAAAACCAUUAGAGAUGGCGCUGGAAAUAAGCCUAGCAGGGGAAAUCAAACAAGUGGAGCUUGAGUACGAGAACCUACAAAAACACUGCUUCCUCUGUCACUCUCUCUCUCAUGAAAAGGAGGUAUGCCCAUCUCGUCGGACCCAAUCAAACUUGAGCUCUGCAGCUCCAACAAAAAUGGGAAUCUCUCAAGUCCGAACUAUGGACCGUUUGGAAGCUGAUAAACGGAGACUAGAUGCGAAGAAGCAUAACUACUUGGGCCACCAACCCACAGAACAGGGAAGACCGGGAUUUCCAAGACAAUGGCAAAGUAGCUCCACCCGCUCGUAUGAUUGGAACCAGGACAAAAGCUUCAGAUUUAAUUACGGAGCCCGGCGUGACCCUUACUUCAAACAGAGCUCACUCUCUUCCGAUAGAAGUAACCCAGCUUCACGACUUCCAGUACGAGAUAGACUUUCACUCCGUACGGAAGAAGACUCUGUUACAAACAAGGACUCUCAGUCUCGCCACCAUACUCGAGCUCAAAGAUCAGAAUGGAGACCGAUCACAAGGAGCCCCCAAAGCGGAAUUCCAAUCCCUCUGAACUCUUUGGGCUCUCAUACUCCAUCCCCUCGGCCUCCUCGUGAGGGAGACGUAAAUCACAGACUCGCAUCAUCUGCCUCAAAACAAGCAUCAGGGGAAGGUAGUAGACCAUCACAAGAGAGAAGGUCAGCGCUAGAGCGACUGUCACUACCAAAUGAAAGAGUACCUCUACUCCAGGAUGGGGUCCCAAAUGCGGAAUCUGGCAGACUUCAAGAGGUCCCAAUUCAGCAGUUAGAAGAGGUACUACCUCUACCCCAAUCUGGGGGAAGUAACCUACCUUCUAGCUCAAGAGUUCCAAGUAGGACAAGGGAAGAAUUCGAUCCAUCUCAAGAUCGAUCCCCCAUCCGCACCCUCAGUGAAGAUAGGGUACAUGUCUCACUCAGAUUGGGACCGCUGUUCCCAGACGACGAAGAUGAUCUACAAGAACUCGGUCCUAGGACAGGUAAAGACCUGGUAGCAUCAUCUGCUCCGCAACCACCGCUGGCUAAAAAGCGGGGUCCGAGAAGUCCACCUCAGGGAGUCGCUGUUAAAAAAAGAAGAGUUACAAAGGUACAGAACUCCCCCAAAAGAAGAGGAACUACAGAAACAAAGAAGAGUAAAACGACUCAGCCGAGAUCCUCAGGAGGACAACCGCGAGUUAACAUCAUUCCACCAUCGAGGAAGAAGGGAACGGAUUUUCGGUCCGCUCCACCUCCUCUUCCUUAGUCAAUCUGAGCUGGAACUGUCAGGGUAUUGGGAGCGACCUGACAGUUCGUCGACUCCGAGAGUUUCGCACAAAGGACUCUCCGGAGAUCAUGUUUCUGAUGGAGACAAAACAGAAGGAUGAGGAGAUUUACAAGAUGUAUAAGGGGACAGCCUUCACAAAUCACUACACCGUACCACCCGAGGGACUUAGUGGAGGCUUGGCCCUCUCCUGGAAGGAUACAGUGCAGAUUGAAAUCUUAUUCUCUUCAGCAAAUGUAAUUGAUACAAAAAUUGAGUUCAAUGGAAAAACCUUCUUUGUGUCAUAUAUCUAUGGAGCUCCAAAUAGAGAAGAUAGACCAAAGUUCUGGGAAUCAUUGUCAGAAAUAGGAGCACAGCGGAGUGCACCAUGGCUUCUCACGGGAGACUUUAAUGAUUUGCUUGACAACUCGGAGAAAGUAGGAGGCCCGUUGAGAUGGGAAGGCUCCUUCUUAUCCUUCAGGAACUUUGUGUCCCUCAAUGGCCUAUGGGAUUUACAAUUCUCGGGUAACUCCCUCUCGUGGAGAGGAACGAGAUACACACACUUCAUCCAAUCUAGACUAGAUAGAGCAAUGGCAAAUAUUGAAUGGAUGGAGAUGUUUCCUGCUGCUAGAAGUGAAUACUUGAGGUUUGAAGGGUCGGAUCAUCGUCCGAUGUUAACUCAUUUUGACCAACACCUCAAGAAGAAAAAAGGCUUGUUUCGGUAUGAUAGGAGGCUGAGUGAGAAACCGGAAGUUCGCACCUUAGUGGAAACAACCUGGAACUCCUCUAGCACAGACUCAGUCUUGACAAAGAUCAGCCAGAUACGACGUAACCUGAUCGAAUGGGCGAAGGUACAGACAGCUGCAGCAAAAGAACAUAUACUCUCCCACCAAGUGCUAUUGGAACAGGAACUGUCAACUGCCAACCCCAAUACUGCACGUAUCGGGGAGCUGAAUGCGAUCCUAACAAAAGCUUACGCGGAGGAUGAAGAGUUCUGGCGCCAAAGGAGUCGUAUCCAAUGGCUAAAUGGAGGUGAUAGGAAUUCGUCGUUCUUCCAUGCGGUCACCAGAGAACGCAGAGCCUGCAACAAGUUCUCCAUCAUCGAAAAUGAGGCGGGGCAGGGUUUCUUCGAGGAGAAUCAAAUAGUUCAGACGUUUGUACAAUUCUACCAGCAGUUAUUUACCUCCGGGAACACAGAUGCGAGAUCAGUGGUCGAAGAAGCUCUCUCACCGAAGGUUACUGCUGCAAUGAAUGAGAAGCUAAUAAAAAUCCCCGAUAUGGAGGAAAUUCGAGCUGCAGUCUUCUCUAUACACCCGGGAAAGGCACCAGGGCCAGAUGGAUUCUCGGCGGGGUUCUAUCAGACGUUUUGGGAUGUAAUUGGGACUGAUAUCUUCCGAGACGUGAAGAGCUUCUUUGAAACAGGCCGAAUGAACCCCCGUCAAAAUGAGACUCACCUCAGGCUCAUUCCAAAGACCAAGGGAGCAAAGAAGGUGUCGGACUAUAGGCCCAUUGCACUGUGCAAUACACACUAUAAGAUAAUUGCAAAGAUCCUGUCUAGACGGCUCCAACCUCUGCUCCACUCUCUGAUCUCGCCAUCGCAGUCAGCAUUUGUUCCUGGGCGAGCGAUAUCAGAUAACGUGUUAAUCACGCAUGAGAUACUCCACUAUCUGAGAAAAUCUGGGGCAAGGAAACGGGUGACCAUGGCGGUAAAGACCGACAUGAGCAAGGCAUAUGACAGGAUUGAGUGGAGCUUCCUUCGUGAGGUACUGAGCAGAUUGGGCUUCCAUGACACGAUAAUCUCGUGGCUAAUGGAAUGUGUCUCAUCGGUGUCAUACUCCUUCCUGAUAAAUGGAGGACCGCAAGGUGCUGUUAAGCCUUCGAGAGGCCUCCGACAAGGUGACCCGCUCUCACCGUACCUGUUCAUCCUUUGUACGGAGGUACUCUCAGGACUAUGUCGACAGGCUCAAGAAAAAGGAACCUUACCGGGAGUAAAAGUGGGGCGGCACUGCCCUCCCAUUAACCAUCUCCUCUUCGCGGACGACACCAUGUUCUUUGGGAAGUCGAAUGCCGCUAGCUGCUCAGCCUUACUCUCUAUCCUCCAGAAGUAUGAGAUGGCUUCUGGACAGUGCAUAAAUCGUGGGAAGUCGGCUAUAACUUUCUCAUCAAAAACCUCUCCAGAAUGCAAAACGAGAGUGAAAGCUGAACUCAAUAUAAACCAAGAAGGGGGAAUUGGAAAAUACCUUGGUUUGCCGGAGCACUUUGGAAGGAAGAAAAGGGACAUCUUCUCAAGCAUCAUUGAUCGCAUUAGACAAAAAGCCCAAGGGUGGACAGCGAGGUACCUCUCGGGAGCAGGGAAGAUGGUGCUGUUGAAGGCGGUUUUGGCAGCAAUGCCUACCUAUGCCAUGUCGUGUUUCAAGCUUCCGAAGUCUUUAUGUAAGCAAAUCCAAUCUGUCCUCACAAGAUUUUGGUGGGAUGUUAAACCGGAGAUUAGAAAAAUGUGUUGGGUCUCUUGGGAUAGGCUUACCCUCCCCAAGAGUGCCGGAGGACUUGGGUUUAGAGAAAUUGAAGAGUUUAAUGAUGCACUGUUGGCAAAACACACUUGGAGACUGCUAAAAGACCCCUCCUCCCUGCUGGGACAAACACUCUUAAAUAAGUACUGCCGCUAUGAAGACCUUCUCUAUGUAUCAGCUCCAGGCUCUGCCUCGCAUGGUUGGAGAGGGAUUCUUGCAGGUAGGGAGAUCAUCAAGAAGGGAAUGGGUUGGGUAGUAGGUAGUGGAGAAACUAUCAAGAUUUGGAGUGAUGACUGGUUAUCUACGGAAAAGCAAGAACGUCCUGUUGGACCCCCAAAUCUCGACGCUCAGAACCUGACAGUCAAAGAACUUUUCCAGAUAAACUCAGCGGAGUGGGACUCAGAGAAAAUAAAACUCCAUUUACCUCAGUAUGAGGGCGAUAUCUUAAAACUAGUGCCUAGCUCCCUGGCGAUGGAUGAUGAGAGGGUCUGGCUCCCUGAAAAGUCAGGAGAGUACUCAACUCGUUCAGGCUAUGCACUGGCAAAGAUGAACAAGGGUGAUACCAUUGAGACUUUCAACUGGAAAAAGUGCGUGUGGAAUGUUAAAUGCUCGCCCAAACUGCAGCAUUUCUUAUGGAAAGUAAAGUCAAAUGCACUGGCUGUGGGAGAGACACUAAUCAAGCGUGGUAUCCAAACUGAAGGGAAAUGCAAGCGGUGUGGAGCUAGUGAAUCUAUUCUCCACGUUAUGCUUUCCUGCCCUUAUGCACAAAGGGUUUGGAGACUAGCCCCAAUCCUAACACCUCUCACGACAGGGAGUGAUGAGUCGAUGGCGGAAGUUCUUCAAACAUGCACUAGGAUGAUCAAUCUACCUCCCACUGGUCUGGUAACUCCCUUAUACCCAUGGAUUUUUUGGGUCUUGUGGACUAGUAGGAAUCAGUUAUUGUUCGAGGAUAAGUCUUUCUCGGAAACAGAGACGAUGCUCAAGGCUAUUAAGGCGGCAGUGGAAUGGCAGGAGGCAACCAAUCUCCUAAACACGACAAUGCCACCUACCAAGAAACCAAACUCUGUUUCAACUAAAGACUCUCCCCCUGUGAACUUAACUCCACAAAUACCAGCAAAUACCUCAGCUCUGUAUUCAGAUGCGGCUUGGAACAGCACAUCUCUGGCAGGAGGCAUGGGAUGGGUAAGCACAACAGCUGACGGCUCGAUCCUGUUCAAAGGAACUGUGACUCGUCGAAAUGUGGCCUCAGCUCUCGUAGCAGAGGCGAUGGCUCUUAAAACAGCACUCUUGGAAGCUAUCUCUCAUGGUCUAACUGACAUAAUCUGUUUCUCAGAUUCUAAGUGUCUAAUUGACCUCAUCACAGGAAAGAAAACUGUGGUGGCUCUGCAAGGAUUACUCCAUGACCUCGGCGUGUUGAGUGACUCUUGUAACUCUAUCUCUUUUUAUUUUAUCCCUCGGGGCUGCAAUGAAGCUGCAGACACUCUAGCUAAAAAUGCUCUGUUUUGUAUGUCAAACAACCCUUCUAGGGAAGCUCUUUCUGUUGUAAACUCUGUUCUUUAAGUUGAAGUAAGAAGGUUUGACC